RNAcentral lists this ribosomal RNA (450 nucleotides) under uncultured bacterium. RNAcentral describes it as "bacterial SSU rRNA". It matches the Rfam family "Bacterial small subunit ribosomal RNA", at positions 354 to 796 of the family's 1533-position model. The record is from RNAcentral.
GUGGGGAAUUUUGGACAAUGGGGGCAACCCUGAUCCAGCCAUGCCGCGUGUGUGAAGAAGGCCUUCGGGUUGUAAAGCACUUUCGGCCGGAACGAAAUCGCGCGAUCUAAUAAGUCGCGUGGAUGACGGUACCGGAAGAAGAAGCACCGGCUAACUACGUGCCAGCAGCCGCGGUAAUACGUAGGGUGCGAGCGUUAAUCGGAAUUACUGGGCGUAAAGUGUGCGCAGGUGGCCGCGCAAGUCGAGUGUGAAAUCCCCGGGCUUAACUUGGGAAUUGCGCUCGAAACUACGUGGCUGGAGUGUGGCAGAGGAAGGUGGAAUUCCACGUGUAGCGGUGAAAUGCGUAGAGAUGUGGAGGAACACCGAUGGCGAAGGCAGCCUUCUGGGCCAACACUGACACUCAUGCACGAAAGCGUGGGGAGCAAACAGGAUUAGAAACCCGAGUAGUCC